UACGUAGGUGGCAAGCGUUGUCCGGAUUUACUGGGCGUAAAGAGCGCGCAGGCGGUCGUUCAAGUCGCGUGUGAAAGCCCCCGGCUCAACUGGGGAGGGUCACGCGAUACUGAUCGACUCGAAGGCAGGAGAGGGUAGUGGAAUUCCCGGUGUAGUGGUGAAAUGCGUAGAUAUCAGGAGGAACAUCGGCGGUGUAGACGGCUUUCUGGACCGUAGCUGACGCUGAGACACGAAAGCGUGGGUAGCAAACAGG
This 253-nucleotide ribosomal RNA is filed under the name uncultured bacterium. RNAcentral describes it as "partial 16S ribosomal RNA". It matches the Rfam family "Bacterial small subunit ribosomal RNA", at positions 524 to 776 of the family's 1533-position model. The record is from RNAcentral.